This 387-nucleotide unclassified non-coding RNA is filed under the name soil metagenome. RNAcentral describes it as "partial contains 5.8S ribosomal RNA, internal transcribed spacer 2, and large subunit ribosomal RNA". The stretch from base 1 to 120 matches the Rfam family "5.8S ribosomal RNA", at positions 35 to 154 of the family's 154-position model. The record is from RNAcentral.
GAUGAAGAACGUAGCGAAAUGCGAUAAGUAAUGUGAAUUGCAGAAUUCAGUGAAUCAUCGAAUCUUUGAACGCACCUUGCACCCUUUGGUAUUCCGAAGGGUAUGCUCGUUUGAGUGUCAUUGUACUCUCACACUUCUAAUUCCUUUCGGGAUUGGGAGCGGUGGACUUGGGUGUUGCUGCUUUAGUUGUGGCUCACCUCAAAUAAGUUAGUGCAACUCUUGGUUGGACAUAGUCCGGCGUGAUAAGUGUCUUCGCCGGCGCCUCUGUAAGGAGGGUGGCCGAUCGGGAGCUCUGUGCUUCAAACCGUCUUCGGACAAUCUUUGACAACUUGACCUCAAAUCGAGUAGGACUACCCGCUGAACUUAAGCAUAUCAAUAAGCGGAGGA